GACGAACGCUGGCGGCGUGCCUAAUACAUGCAAGUCGAGCGGACGAAUCGAAAGCUUGCUUUUGAUUCGUUAGCGGCGGACGGGUGAGUAACACGUGGGCAACCUGCCCUGUAGACGGGGAUAACACCGAGAAAUCGGUGCUAAUACCGGAUAACACGAAAUGUCGCAUGACGUUUCGUUGAAAGACGGCGCAAGCUGUCGCUACAGGAUGGGCCCGCGGCGCAUUAGCUAGUUGGUGAGGUAACGGCUCACCAAGGCGACGAUGCGUAGCCGACCUGAGAGGGUGAUCGGCCACACUGGGACUGAGACACGGCCCAGACUCCUACGGGAGGCAGCAGUAAGGAAUCUUCCGCAAAGGACGAAAGUCUGACGGAGCAACGCCGCGUGAGCGAAGAAGGCCUUCGGGUCGUAAAGCUCUGUUGUUAGGGAAGAACAAGUAACGCAGUAACUGGCGUUACCGUGACGGUACCUAACGAGAAAGCCACGGCUAACUACGUG
Molecule: ribosomal RNA, 498 nt
Filed under: uncultured bacterium
Lineage: Bacteria
Description: partial 16S ribosomal RNA
Rfam family: Bacterial small subunit ribosomal RNA
Source: RNAcentral